AAUCUUGCGCAAUGGAGGGAACUCUGACGCAGCGACGCCGCGUGAACGACGAAGGUCUUCGGAUCGGUAAGUUCUGUUCUCAGGGAAGAAGGACACAUAACGUGACUUUACGGCACCUGAGGAGGAAGCUCCGGAUAACUCCGGGCCAGCAGCAGCGGUAAUACGUGGGGGGCAAGCGUUGCUCGGAAGUAUUUUGCGUAAAGGGUGCGUAGGCGACCUAUUAAGUCAUGUGUGAGAGACCACGGCUUAACUGUGGGGCUGCAUUUGAAAUUAGAAGGCUUGAGUGUCGGAGAGGGUAGUGGAAUACAAGGUGUAGCGGUGAAAUGCGUAGAUAUCGGGAGGAACACCAGUGGCGAAGGCGACUACCUGGUCGAGAACUGACGCUGAUGCACGAAAGCUAGGGGAGCAAACA
RNAcentral lists this ribosomal RNA (412 nucleotides) under uncultured bacterium. RNAcentral describes it as "partial 16S ribosomal RNA". It matches the Rfam family "Bacterial small subunit ribosomal RNA", at positions 360 to 774 of the family's 1533-position model. The record is from RNAcentral.